Molecule: long non-coding RNA, 980 nt
Organism: Talpa occidentalis (Iberian mole)
Lineage: Eukaryota; Metazoa; Chordata; Mammalia; Eulipotyphla; Talpidae
Exons: 3
Source: RefSeq, a predicted model, not a curated record
GAGACCUUGUUGGAUGCAAAUGCCCUGUGUGAUCUAAGAGGCUCCAAGGCAGAAGGACUCACCUAUUUUCUUCUGCAUGCAAAAUUUAAAAAGCAAAAAGAAUGGAAGAGGAAAGGCUCAUUUAAGAGGAAUCCAAGAAUUCAUCUUUACAUUCUUUUCAUUUUUUCCUGACUUGGAGGAUAAAGCGUUUGAUCUUAGAGAAACACUAAUUUUGACUUCAUGAACACAAACCAAUUCUGACCAUUGUUUUAGCCAACAGAUCUCAGAAGGAUAGAGCUCUAGCAGAGGGCUACACAGAAUUUUGCAUGAACAAAAUACACAACUGUGUUUCCACUUGACAUGUAGGGAAUCAAACUGCAAGAAUAUGUUUGCUGAUUGGUGAACGAGUUGGUGAGUGAGAGAAGUUUCAGGCUUUUAAAUUUCACUUGUCCAACUUGGGUUGUCAAUUUCCACCAAACAAAAAAAAAGAAAGAAAGAAAAGAAGAAAGAAAAAAAAUGAAUUUUAAUUGACUAUCAUUUGAAAAAUAUACCACAUCUGAUUUCUAAAAAGUAGAAUUCUAAAAACAACUGGGCACUGUCAAGCUUCAAGAAACCUUUGCAUAACUGUGACUGACUUAUCACAGUGAAGAAAUAGAAAAGAAACAUGGUUGAUUAUUAAGCUGUUGGACUCUCAGAACCUGCACAACUUUGUCCUGUUGGCCUGGAAGGAGUUUUCCGAGCACUGCAGAGGUACAGCAUCUUUUAUCAGGCAGCACCUGAUAAGUGCUUCUGACACUUAUACCAACCAAGAUGUACUAGAAUGCACUGGCUGCUGCUUCUGGGAGGACCAAACCCAAAGACAACUUGCUAGGAAGCAUUUGCCUCCCAACCCCAAAGUCCUUAGGUCUUUAGUAAAACUGGGGACACUUGGCAAGGUCUUUUGUCCCCAAGGUAAUGAUUGGAGGGCACUGGGCUGGAAGUCAAGAGAGUGAGUGCUGGCU